Molecule: ribosomal RNA, 762 nt
Filed under: uncultured bacterium
Lineage: Bacteria
Description: bacterial SSU rRNA
Rfam family: Bacterial small subunit ribosomal RNA
Source: RNAcentral
GAACGCGAAAGUCCCGCAAGGGAUCAGUAGAGUGGCAAACGGGUGAGUAACACGUGGGUGACCUGCCUUCGAGUGGGGGAUAACGUCCCGAAAGGGACGCUAAUACCGCAUGACAUCCUGCCUUUGAAGAGGUGGAGCUUAAAGCUGGGGAUCGCAAGACCUAGCGCUUGAAGAGGGGCCCGCGUCUGAUUAGCUAGUUGGUGAGGUAACGGCUCACCAAGGCAACGAUCAGUAUCCGGCCUGAGAGGGCGGACGGACACACUGGGACUGAGACACGGCCCAGACUCCUACGGGAGGCAGCAGUGGGGAAUUGUUCGCAAUGGGCGCAAGCCUGACGACGCAACGCCGCGUGGAGGAUGAAGAUCUUCGGGUCGUAAACUCCUUUCGAUCGAGACGAACGGCCUCUGGGCUAAUCACCAGGGGAAUGACGGUACCGAGAGAAGAAGCCCCGGCUAACUCCGUGCCAGCAGCCGCGGUAAUACGGGGGGGGCAAGCGUUGUUCGGAAUUACUGGGCGUAAAGGGCUCGUAGGCGGCCAACUAAGUCAUACGUGAAAUCCCUCGGCUUAACCGGGGAACUGCGUCUGAUACUGGAUGGCUUGAGAUUGGGAGAGGGAUGCGGAAUUCCAGGUGUAGCGGUGAAAUGCGUAGAUAUCUGGAGGAACACCGGUGGCGAAGGCGGCAUCCUGGACCAACACUGACGCUGAGGAGCGAAAGCCAGGGGAGCAAACGGGAUUAGAUACCCCGGUAGUCCUGGCCCUAAA